Small nuclear RNA from Panthera pardus (leopard), 107 nucleotides. Lineage: Eukaryota; Metazoa; Chordata; Mammalia; Carnivora; Felidae. The record is from Ensembl.
GUGCUCGCUUCAACAGCACGUAUACUAAAAUGGGAACGAUGCAGAGAAGAUUAGCACGGCCCCUUGUGCAAGGUUGACGUGGAAAUGUGUGAAGCUUCCAUAUUUGG